UACGUAGGGUCCGAGCGUUGUCCGGAAUCAUUGGGCGUAAAGAGCGUGUAGGCGGCCCGGUAAGUCCGCUGUGAAAGUCGGGGGCUCAACCCUCGGAUGCCGGUGGAAACUGUCGAGCUAGAGUCCGGAAGAGGCGAGUGGAAUUCCUGGUGUAGCGGUGAAAUGCGCAGAUAUCAGGAGGAACACCAAUGGCGAAGGCAGCUCGCUGGGACGGUACUGACGCUGAGACGCGAAAGCGUGGGGAGCAAACAGG
This 253-nucleotide ribosomal RNA is filed under the name uncultured bacterium. Its description in RNAcentral is "partial 16S ribosomal RNA". It matches the Rfam family "Bacterial small subunit ribosomal RNA", at positions 524 to 776 of the family's 1533-position model. The record is from RNAcentral.